This 49-nucleotide non-coding RNA is filed under the name Trypanosoma brucei brucei. The record is from RNAcentral. Lineage: Eukaryota; Euglenozoa; Kinetoplastea; Trypanosomatida; Trypanosomatidae.
AUAUAUACAACAAUAUAAUAGCUAUCAGAGGUUGAAUGUGAGAUUAAAU